This 497-nucleotide ribosomal RNA is filed under the name uncultured bacterium. RNAcentral's name for it is "partial 16S ribosomal RNA". It matches the Rfam family "Bacterial small subunit ribosomal RNA", at positions 28 to 507 of the family's 1533-position model. The record is from RNAcentral.
GAUGAACGCUGGCGGCGUGCCUAAUACAUGCAAGUCGAGCGAACAGAUAAGGAGCUUGCUCCUUUGACGUUAGCGGCGGACGGGUGAGUUACACGUGGAUAACCUACCUAUAAGACUGGGAUAACUUCGGGAAACCGGAGCUAAUACCGGAUAACAUAUUGAACCGCAUGGUUCAAUAGUGAAAGGCGGCUUUGCUGUCACUUAUAGAUGGAUCCGCGCCGUAUUAGCUAGUUGGUAAGGUAACGGCUUACCAAGGCAACGAUACGUAGCCGACCUGAGAGGGUGAUCGGCCACACUGGAACUGAGACACGGUCCAGACUCCUACGGGAGGCAGCAGUAGGGAAUCUUCCGCAAUGGGCGAAAGCCUGACGGAGCAACGCCGCGUGAGUGAUGAAGGUCUUCGGAUCGUAAAACUCUGUUAUCAGGGAAGAACAAAUGUGUAAGUAACUAUGCACAUCUUGACGGUACCUGAUCAGAAAGCCACGGCUAACUACGUG